GACGAACGCUGGCGGCGUGCUUAACACAUGCAAGUCGAACGGAAAGGCCCUGCUUUUGUGGGGUGCUCGAGUGGCGAACGGGUGAGUAACACGUGAGUAACCUGCCCUUGACUUUGGGAUAACUUCAGGAAACUGGGGCUAAUACCGGAUAGGAGCUCCUGCUGCAUGGUGGGGGUUGGAAAGUUUCGGCGGUUGGGGAUGGGCUCGCGGCUUAUCAGCUUGUUGGUGGGGUAGUGGCUUACCAAGGCUUUGACGGGUAGCCGGCCUGAGAGGGUGACCGGCCACAUUGGGACUGAGAUACGGCCCAGACUCCUACGGGAGGCAGCAGUGGGGAAUAUUGCACAAUGGGCGGAAGCCUGAUGCAGCAACGCCGCGUGCGGGAUGACGGCCUUCGGGUUGUAAACCGCUUUCGCCUGAGACGAAGCGUGAGUGGCGGUAAUGGGUAAAGAAGCACCGGCUAACUACGUG
RNAcentral lists this ribosomal RNA (468 nucleotides) under uncultured bacterium. Its description in RNAcentral is "partial 16S ribosomal RNA". It matches the Rfam family "Bacterial small subunit ribosomal RNA", at positions 28 to 507 of the family's 1533-position model. The record is from RNAcentral.